UUGUAAAAAUUGUUUGCUUUUAUAGCUCUUCACCAUAUAGAACUAUUUACCGGCUCCGGGUACUGACCCACCAAAGACUGUCCGAUUAGAGACGAAACGAAGAUGCACUUGUUUUUUAUAAGACUAACCCAUUUAUUGUCACCACUCAACAGACUGUUUGGUCUGGUCUGUGUAUGUAUGUGUCUCAACAUGUAGAAGGAGAGAUUUAAGAUAGAGGUUAGAAUAAUAAAAACCCAUAGCCUUUUUUACAGCCGCCCCCAGAUUUCCAUAAGGAAAUAUGUACUUAUACAAAAAGGCUUAUUUUAUUGGUUGAAUUUACAAUUACUUCAAUCAGGAAUAGCAGGUAAUUGUAUAAGGCGUGCGACUGGUCUAGUGUAAGCCUUUUCUCCCACCUGAACUUUGGCUGUCCUCACUCUGGUGUCAGCUCCAGGGUAUACUUCCGACACCUUCCCCACAGGCCAGAGAGCUCUGGGUAGCUGCGGGUCAAUAAUCAGCACCGUAGUGCCAACCUGGAUGUCUGGAGUAUCCUUUUGCCAUUUUUGACGACCUUGAAGACCAGGGAGGUAGAAUUUGAUAUAAUGUCUCCAAAAUUGGUCCGCAAGGAUUUGGCUGUGGCGCCAUCGACGCCGACUGAUCAGUUCCGACUGCGGGUAUACUGUCAGGGGGAGUGAUGCAUCCGGCCGCCCCAUUAGGAGACAAUUUGGGGUAAUAGGGUCAGGAUCGGAAGCAUUACUUGAUGUAUAUCCCAGUGGUUUGGAGUUCAAAAUUCCCUCAAUUUCUACCAGCACGGUGUGAAGGACCUCGAAGGUUACUGAUUGAGUUCCUAGAGUGACCAUCAGUGCGUUUUUCAAAGAGCGAAUUUCUCGCUCCCAACAGCCUCCAAAGUGUGGUGAAUUAGGCGGAUUGAAUUGGAAUUCGAUUUGCUGUUUGGCCAAUUGUCUCUGCAGAUCUGGGCCAAGAGCUGUAAAAGCUUCCCUUAGCUCUCUCUCACCUCCUCUGAAGUUCGUGCCUUGGUCUGACAAAAGUUCAUGGGGUUUUCCUCGUCUAGCCAUGAACCGCCUGAGGGCCAUAAGGAAGGAAUCAGUUUCCAGACUGUGGAGGAUGUCGAUGUAUACUGCUCUGGUGGUGAGGCAUUUGAAUAUUAUUCCCCAUUUCUUCUCACUGCGCCGACCCGUUCUGAUAGUAUAAGGACCGAAGCAGUCCACGCCAGUGGAGUAAAAGGCGGGCUUAAAAAGACGCAGUCUGGCUGGGGGAAGGUCUGCCAUCUUAGGUACCUCUGGUUUUUUUCUCCAUUUCUGACACUGCACACACUCUCGUUGCAAACGCUUGAUGGCCUCUCUUCCUCGCAGAACCCAGUAUUUACGGCGGAGUUCAGCGAACACUCUCUCAGGACCUGAAUGACAAAGUU
Cyprinus carpio carpio is the source of this 1408-nucleotide long non-coding RNA. NCBI's taxonomy places the organism in Eukaryota, Metazoa, Chordata, Actinopteri, Cypriniformes, Cyprinidae. The record is from Ensembl.